This 498-nucleotide ribosomal RNA is filed under the name uncultured bacterium. RNAcentral's name for it is "partial 16S ribosomal RNA". It matches the Rfam family "Bacterial small subunit ribosomal RNA", at positions 30 to 523 of the family's 1533-position model. The record is from RNAcentral.
AUUGAACGCUGGCGGCAUGCCUUACACAUGCAAGUCGAACGGUAACAGGUCUUCGGAUGCUGACGAGUGGCGAACGGGUGAGUAAUACAUCGGAACGUGCCUAGUAGUGGGGGAUAACUACUCGAAAGAGUGGCUAAUACCGCAUGAGAUCUACGGAUGAAAGCAGGGGAUCGCAAGACCUUGUGCUACUAGAGCGGCCGAUGGCAGAUUAGGUAGUUGGUGGGAUAAAAGCUUACCAAGCCGACGAUCUGUAGCUGGUCUGAGAGGACGAUCAGCCACACUGGGACUAAGACCCGGCCCAGACUCCUCCGGGAGGCAGCAGUGGGGAAUUUUGGACAAUGGGCGAAAGCCUGAUCCAGCAAUGCCGCGUGCAGGAUGAAGGCCUUCGGGUUGUAAACUGCUUUUGUACGGAACGAAAAGCCCCGGGUUAAUACCCUGGGGUCAUGACGGUACCGUAAGAAUAAGCACCGGCUAACUACGUGCCAGCCGCCGCCGUAA